Molecule: unclassified non-coding RNA, 20 nt
Filed under: Chlamydomonas reinhardtii
Lineage: Eukaryota; Viridiplantae; Chlorophyta; Chlorophyceae; Chlamydomonadales; Chlamydomonadaceae
Description: small RNA Cre_1214
Source: RNAcentral
CGAGGUCGGACGGGAUGAGA